UCGUGUCGUGAGAUGUUGGGUUAAGUCCCGCAACGAGCGCAACCCUCACCUCUUGUUGCCAACAGGUCAUGCUGGGCACUCUAGAGGAACUGCCCCGGUCAACGGGGAGGAAGGCGGGGAUGACGUCAAGUCAUCAUGCCCCUUACGUCCUGGGCUACACACGUGCUACAAUGGCCGGUACAAAGGGAUGCCACACCGCGAGGUAGAGCUAAACCCAAAAAGCCGGUCUAAGUUCAGAUUGGAGUCUGCAACUCGACUCUAUGAAGGAGGAAUCGCUAGUAAUCGC
This 286-nucleotide ribosomal RNA is filed under the name uncultured Methylomirabilota bacterium. Its description in RNAcentral is "uncultured candidate division NC10 bacterium partial 16S ribosomal RNA". It matches the Rfam family "Bacterial small subunit ribosomal RNA", at positions 1060 to 1345 of the family's 1533-position model. The record is from RNAcentral. Lineage: Bacteria; Methylomirabilota (SeqCode).